This 1434-nucleotide long non-coding RNA is filed under the name Manacus vitellinus (golden-collared manakin). RNAcentral's name for it is "lncRNA (ENSMVIG00005019041.1)". The record is from RNAcentral. Lineage: Eukaryota; Metazoa; Chordata; Aves; Passeriformes; Pipridae.
UGGGCAGGUGUCUGUCAGUCAGGUUUGUCCUGAUCGGCUCCAUUCCCGCCCGGGCGGCGGCACAGGCCGUGUGCGUGGGCAGGAGCGCCGGGAUACGCCGUGGGGAUGCAGCACGGAGCGUGGGGAUGCAGCAUGGAGUGUGGGGAUGCAGCACGGAGCCGGAGCCAGCGGAGACAGCUGGUGGAGAAUCCCCCCACCUCCUUCCUCAUCGCCCACGGAGCAGCGUGCCCAGCCCAGCCGUGACCACUGAGAUCACUGGGAGGGCCUGUGGGGUAUCCCAGGCCCCACAGACAUCAUCUGGGAGAGAAGGCUUGUGUGUUUGAAGCACUGUGCCUCUGGCUUGCUGGAGAAGGUGGUGGAUGCUCUGAGUCUGGGGAUACUGAGGCAGAAGCAGCGGACAAGCCCUGCUGUAACCCUUUGUGCCCCCGCUGAUGGAUCCCGGGAGCUGCAGCACGGACCUGGAACAGUCGGUGUCAGGGCAGGCCUGGAUUUUGGGAUCCCACUGCCUUCAUCGCAGCCCCAGAGGAGUUGUGCAGAGGACAUGGCUCUGCUGCAAGAUGAGCUGCAGCGUUUCCCUUCGAGACACGCAGCUCCUCCAGAUCCCUGCCUGCUCUGCCACAUCCGCCGGCAGCUGCCCAGGGACGGGAACGGGAGGGAGAUGCACUCAUCCCGGAUCCAUCCCUUUUAGCAUCGUUCCCACCGCUGAAGGAGGGUGACUGGGAUCACAUCCCACCUGAGCUGGGACACAGGUCUGGGCUCUGCCACUGAUUUGCUGUAGAACUUGGGCAAGUGGCUGCACCCUCUCCCUGUCUCCAUGACCCAGGAGCAGCAGGUAUCCCCCCACAAUCCAGCUUCACUCAGGGCCCAAGGCUUGGCCCUGGAGGAUUCCCAGUCUCCAAGGAGCUGGGGGUUUUCUGGCAGCUCCUAAAUCUCAGCCAGGCUCUGCAACCUGCGGGGCGGCUGCUCCCCAGCCCUGACCCUCCGCCGAGCUCUCCACAGCUGCCGGCACAGCCCGGGACCACAGGGCUCACCGGGAAGCCUGAACAAUGCCGACGAGCUGAGAUCAUUCCUCCCAGCUGAUUAUUUGCUCAAAAAUAUUUCUGAGCUCAGGCCUCCUCGGGGAAAACACUCCCAAACACCCGGCAAAAAGCUGCUGAGUCUGGAGGAACCACACACCCCGCUCGCUCAGCCGAGACACCCCCCCCUCCGAUGACAAGCCCUGGCGUCAGAGGGAUUGAGGCCAAAGUCGGCUGUUUGAUCUCCCCCUCGGCUGGGGGAAGCUGAAUUUCAGGCCCUCGAAGGGCUUUCACCACUUCCCUGUAGCGGUUUCCUGCCAUGAUGGGAGUGCAGGAAUUUUUGAGAGGUGAGUCAGAGGCUGCGAUGAGAACCACCUGGCUGGGGCUGGCCUGGGAGGCUUGAUCCCCAUCCAGGGGU